Molecule: ribosomal RNA, 1764 nt
Filed under: Heyndrickxia coagulans
Lineage: Bacteria; Bacillati; Bacillota; Bacilli; Caryophanales; Bacillaceae
Description: bacterial LSU rRNA
Rfam family: Bacterial large subunit ribosomal RNA
Source: RNAcentral
AAAGAGUGCGUAAUAGCUCACUGGUCGAGUGACGCUGCGCCGAAAAUGUACUGGGGCUAAACGUAUCACCGAAGCUGCGGAUGGACACCGUAUGGUGUCCGUGGUAGGAGAGCGUUCUAAGGGCGUUGAAGCCGGACCGGAAGGACCGGUGGAGCGCUUAGAAGUGAGAAUGCCGGUAUGAGUAGCGAAAGAAGGGUGAGAAUCCCUUCCACCGAAUGCCUAAGGUUUCCUGAGGAAGGCUCGUCCGCUCAGGGUUAGUCGGGGCCUAAGCCGAGGCCGAAAGGCGUAGGCGAUGGACAACAGGUUGAUAUUCCUGUACCGCCUCUUCACCGUUUGAACGAUGGGGGGACGCAGGAGGAUAGGGCAAGCGCGACACUGGUUGAUCGCGUCCAAGCAGUUAGGCCGGUGCGGAGGCAAAUCCUUCGCGCCAAGGCGGAGCUGUGAUGGCGAGGGAAAUUUUAGUACCGAAGUUCCUGAUUCCACACUGCCAAGAAAAGCCUCUAGUGAGGUGAAAGGCGCCCGUACCGCAAACCGACACAGGUAGGCGAGGAGAGAAUCCUAAGGUGAGCGAGAGAACUCUCGUUAAGGAACUCGGCAAAAUGACCCCGUAACUUCGGGAGAAGGGGUGCUUUUUGGGGUGUAUGCCCCGGGAAGCCGCAGUGAAUAGGCCCAGGCGACUGUUUAGCAAAAACACAGGUCUCUGCGAAGCCGCAAGGCGAAGUAUAGGGGCUGACACCUGCCCGGUGCUGGAAGGUUAAGGAGAGGGGUUAGCCGUAAGGCGAAGCUCUGAACUGAAGCCCCAGUAAACGGCGGCCGUAACUAUAACGGUCCUAAGGUAGCGAAAUUCCUUGUCAGGUAAGUUCUGACCCGCACGAAAGGUGUAACGAUCUGGGCACUGUCUCAACGAGAGACUCGGUGAAAUUAUAGUACCUGUGAAGAUGCAGGUUACCCGCGACAGGACGGAAAGACCCCAUGGAGCUUUACUGCAGCCUGAUAUUGAAUUUUGGUACAGCUUGUACAGGAUAGGUAGGAGCCUUGGAAACCGGAGCGCCAGCUUCGGCGGAGGCAUCGGUGGGAUACUACCCUGGCUGUAUUGAAAUUCUAACCCGCACCCCUUACCGGGGUGGGAGACAGUGUCAGGCAGGCAGUUUGACUGGGGCGGUCGCCUCCUAAAAGGUAACGGAGGCGCCCAAAGGUUCCCUCAGAAUGGUUGGAAAUCAUUCGCAGAGUGUAAAGGCAUAAGGGAGCUUGACUGCGAGACUUACAAGUCGGGCAGGGACGAAAGUCGGGCUUAGUGAUCCGGUGGUUCCGCAUGGAAGGGCCAUCGCUCAACGGAUAAAAGCUACCCUGGGGAUAACAGGCUGAUCUCCCCCAAGAGUCCACAUCGACGGGGAGGUUUGGCACCUCGAUGUCGGCUCAUCGCAUCCUGGGGCUGUAGUCGGUCCCAAGGGUUGGGCUGUUCGCCCAUUAAAGCGGUACGCGAGCUGGGUUCAGAACGUCGUGAGACAGUUCGGUCCCUAUCCGUCGCGGGCGCAGGAAAUUUGAGAGGAGCUGUCCUUAGUACGAGAGGACCGGGAUGGACGCACCGCUGGUGUACCAGUUGUCUUGCCAAAGGCAUCGCUGGGUAGCUAUGUGCGGAAGGGAUAAGUGCUGAAAGCAUCUAAGCAUGAAGCCCCCCUCAAGAUGAGAUUUCCCACAGUUUAUACUGGUAAGAUCCCUGAAAGAUGAUCAGGUUGAUAGGUCCGGGGUGGAAGCGCGGCGACG